Molecule: transfer-messenger RNA, 387 nt
Filed under: Patescibacteria group
Lineage: Bacteria
Also listed under: 6 other names
Description: CG2-30-33-46 sp002792735 Standard tmRNA
Rfam family: transfer-messenger RNA
About the family: Bacterial tmRNA, also known as 10Sa RNA or SsrA, is named for its dual tRNA and mRNA-like properties. Its role is to liberate the mRNA from a stalled ribosome.
Source: RNAcentral
GGGGCUGAUCAGCUUCGACGUAAGUUCUUUAAUAGUUUUAAAUUGCAAAUCGAGCCGAGUUAACUCGCUAAACUGAUUCAAAAACUUCAAGUGCAAAUUCACUUGUUAGCAAAGUAAAAGCUGCUUUUAGCGGCUUGAGCUUUGCGCCAGCUGUAGUUUAAUUUCUAUGGCCGUCUGUCAUUCCAGCUCCUCGACUGAAGUGAACAGGCGUCAUUUUUCGAGGUGCUUUUCGGUUGUAUCUGUAAGCCGAAAUUAAGAUUCACAGGAUAAGGUUAGUUGAUUUUGUUUGUUUUUUACAGCUAACCCGAAAACAAAAAACAAUCUAAAUUUGUAGAAUGUUUAAAGCUAUGCUUACGGACGCGGGUGCGAUUCCCGCCAGCUCCAUUU